AUGAUACUCCCUCUGUCCGAAAAUACUUGUCCUAGAGAUGAAUGUAUCUAGACUUAUUUUAGUUAUAGAUACAUUCAUUAUAUCCAUUUCUAUGACAAGUAUUUCCGGACGGAGGGAGUACUAG
RNAcentral lists this microRNA precursor (124 nucleotides) under Hordeum vulgare. Its description in RNAcentral is "microRNA MIR1122". It matches the Rfam family "MIR1120/MIR1122 microRNA precursor family". The record is from RNAcentral. Lineage: Eukaryota; Viridiplantae; Streptophyta; Magnoliopsida; Poales; Poaceae.